CAGCAAGCAGUCAUAUGUAGAGUUAAACAACAGUAACUAAAGAAUAGUGUCAAAAAGCCAUAGGUUGGAGAAGGGAUAUUACUAAGAAACUCACCAUUAACUAGCCUGAUCCAAGAAUGAAAAAAAUCUGCUUUUUCUCUCCUUUUGUUAUGGCUUAAAGCUUUCAGCUUCACAAACCAAAAUAAAUCCUG
Ceratotherium simum simum (southern white rhinoceros) is the source of this 191-nucleotide non-coding RNA. The record is from RefSeq and is a predicted model, not a curated record. Lineage: Eukaryota; Metazoa; Chordata; Mammalia; Perissodactyla; Rhinocerotidae.